This 387-nucleotide ribosomal RNA is filed under the name bacterium. RNAcentral describes it as "bacterial SSU rRNA". It matches the Rfam family "Bacterial small subunit ribosomal RNA", at positions 416 to 794 of the family's 1533-position model. The record is from RNAcentral.
UUUCGGGUCGUAAAACUCUGUUGUUAGGGAAGAACAAGUGCUAGUUGAAUAAGCUGGCACCUUGACGGUACCUAACCAGAAAGCCACGGCUAACUACGUGCCAGCAGCCGCGGUAAUACGUAGGUGGCAAGCGUUAUCCGGAAUUAUUGGGCGUAAAGCGCGCGCAGGUGGUUUCUUAAGUCUGAUGUGAAAGCCCACGGCUCAACCGUGGAGGGUCAUUGGAAACUGGGAGACUUGAGUGCAGAAGAGGAAAGUGGAAUUCCAUGUGUAGCGGUGAAAUGCGUAGAGAUAUGGAGGAACACCAGUGGCGAAGGCGACUUUCUGGUCUGUAACUGACACUGAGGCGCGAAAGCGUGGGGAGCAAACAGGAUUAGAUACCCGGGUAGU